UACAGAGGGUGCAAGCGUUGUUCGGAAUUAUUGGGCGUAAAGCGCGUGUAGGCGGCUUUGCAAGCCGGAUGUGAAAUCCCCGGGCUUAACCUGGGAACUGCAUUCGGGACUGCAUGGCUAGAGUAUGGGAGAGGGAAGUGGAAUUUCAGGUGUAGCGGUGAAAUGCGUAGAUAUCUGAAGGAACAUCAGUGGCGAAAGCGACUUCCUGGACCAAUACUGACGCUCAUGUGCGAAAGCGUGGGGAGCAAACAGG
This 253-nucleotide ribosomal RNA is filed under the name uncultured bacterium. Its description in RNAcentral is "partial 16S ribosomal RNA". It matches the Rfam family "Bacterial small subunit ribosomal RNA", at positions 524 to 776 of the family's 1533-position model. The record is from RNAcentral.